Molecule: ribosomal RNA, 1131 nt
Filed under: Triticum aestivum (bread wheat)
Lineage: Eukaryota; Viridiplantae; Streptophyta; Magnoliopsida; Poales; Poaceae
Description: partial small subunit ribosomal RNA
Source: RNAcentral
AUGAGGCGUGAGUACCUAGUUGGCUUCGCGCUCAUAGUCGCCGGGCUCUGGCCGCUGCCCGCGGCUGCGCAGAAGUACGCCGCUAUCUUCAACUUUGGCGACUCCCUCGCCGACGCCGGCAACCUCGUCGCGGAUGGCAUCCCGGAUUACCUCGCCACGGCGCGCCUGCCGUAUGGCAUGACGUACUUCGGGUACCCGACGGGGCGCGUCUCCGACGGCCGCCUCGUCGUCGACUUCAUCGCGCAGGAGCUGGGCCUGCCACUGCUACCGCCGUCCAAGGCGCACAACGCGUCGUUCCACCGUGGUGCCAACUUCGCGAUCACCGGCGGCACGUCGCUGGACACGAGCUUCUUUGAGGCGCGUGGCAUGAGGCACACGGUCUGGAACUCCGGCUCCCUGCACACCCAGCUCAAGUGGUUUCAAGACAUGAAGCCAUCCAUCUGCAACUCCCCAAAAGAGUGCAGGGACCUGUUCAGGCGGUCGCUGUUCAUCGUCGGCGAGUUUGGCGGGAACGAUUACGCGGCGGCGCUCGGCGCGUUCCUCCCGGUGCAGAAGGUGCACACGUUCGUGCCGCACAUCGUCGACUCCAUCGGCAAGGGAAUCGAGAAGCUGAUCGCGGAGGGGGCGGUGGAGCUGGUGGUGCCGGGCGUGCUGCCGAUCGGCUGCUUCCCCGUGUACCUGUCCAUCUUCCUCAAGCAGCGGCCGGAGAUGUACGGCCCGCGCAGCGGCUGCAUCAAGGACCUUAACACGCUGUCCUGGGUGCACAACGCCCUGCUGCAGCGCAAGAUCGCCGAGCUCCGGAAGAAGCACCCCGGCGUGCGCAUCAUGUACGCCGACUACUACACCGCCGUCACGCAGUUCGUCCUGCGCGCCGAGAAGUGGGGGUUCCUGAAGCAGACUCCGAGGACAUGCUGCGGCGCGCCGGGCGUGGGGGUGUACAACUUCAACCUGACGUCCAAGUGCGGCGAGCCAGGCGCUUACGCCUGCGACGACCCAUCAAACCACUGGAACUGGGAUGGCGUCCACCUCACGGAGGCAGCCUACGGCCACAUCGCCAAGGGAUGGCUCUACGGGCCCUUCGCCGACCCGCCCAUCCUAGAGGCAAAGGCAACAUUAGAACUUACGGAGUAG